This 548-nucleotide ribosomal RNA is filed under the name uncultured archaeon. Its description in RNAcentral is "bacterial SSU rRNA". It matches the Rfam family "Archaeal small subunit ribosomal RNA", at positions 325 to 872 of the family's 1478-position model. The record is from RNAcentral.
ACGGGGCGCAGCAGGCGCGAAACCUUUACACUGCACGCAAGUGCGAUAAGGGGACCCCAAGUGCGAGGGCAUAUAGUCCUCGCUUUUCUCGACCGUAAGGCGGUCGAGGAAUAAGAGCUGGGCAAGACCGGUGCCAGCAGCCGCGGUAAUACCGGCAGCUCAAGUGAUGACCGGUAUUAUUGGGCCUAAAGCGUCCGUAGCCGGCCACGAAGGUUCAUCGGGAAAUCCGCCAGCUCAACUGGCGGGCGUCCGGUGAAAACCACGUGGCUUGGGACCGGAAGGCUCGAGGGGUACGUCCGGGGUAGGAGUGAAAUCCCGUAAUCCUGGACGGACCACCGAUGGCGAAAGCACCUCGAGAAGACGGAUCCGACGGUGAGGGACGAAAGCUAGGGUCUCGAACCGGAUUAGAUACCCGGGUAGUCCUAGCUGUAAACGAUGCUCGCUAGGUGUGACACAGGCUACGAGCCUGUGUUGUGCCGUAGGGAAGCCGAGAAGCGAGCCGCCUGGGAAGUACGUCCGCAAGGAUGAAACUUAAAGGAAUUGGCGGG